UCAGAAUCAGGCUGUUUUCAGAGCUAUCUUUUAGCUACCAUAACUUGAAUUCCGUGGAUACAAUUUCAAUGAUUUUCUGAUUUUCUGAAAGCUUAGAAAGAGACCUUUCAAAUGGUGUCAUCAAAGUUUAUAUUUGAGAGAUAAAAGUAUUUGCCAAUUUGGCCAUAACAUGAAUAAAAUAAAAUAGCCCAUGGUCCAAGGCGGAAUAUUACAAAUUAGGGCCCCAACAAAAUUUUGGAUCAAAACACAUCAUUUGAAAGGUCUCUUUAAUUCUAAGCUUUCAGAAAUCAUAACAUUUUUGACAUUGGAUCAACGGUAUUAAAGUUAAUGGCUGUUGAAAAAUCAGGUUUGUUUUUAGAGCUAUCUUUUAGAGGCCAUAACUUGUGUUAGGAACGUCCUAUUUAAAAAACUCAAAGACGCAUUCUGUAGCUUUGAGAAAGCACUAUUGUAUAAAGUGUCUUAAAACCGCUAAUUGCUCGCAGUGCCAAAGCUCACUAAUUUGUGUGUCCUAUGCUGUAGAUGUAGGAACACGGAACCAUCGUCGGUUGUGUGCAAUGUAUUAUAGUCGUACCCCCGGGUUUGAAGUGUCCAUGGACUACUGGACCGUGUCAUGCAGCUGCUGGAGGUGUCCUUCACCAAAGAUGGCAGUAGAUACUUCCUCAAGGCAGCUGAAGACUCUACCUAGUUCCCGGGCCGUUGUGCAGAGGUGUGUGUACGUGGGAAGGUGAUUGGGAAACUGGGCAUGCUCUAUCCUGGUGUGUCUGUUGUGCAGCUCUAGUGUGUGUGAGACUGGGAGGUGUGUCUGGUGCAGCUGUUCUCACGGCCUCCUCCAACCAGUACCUGCCCUCCGUACUCUCCAGGGAGAACCUAUCUCCUCAGGUUAGUGUGUGUUCAUCAUGACCUCCUUGACAGUAUGUAUACCAUGCCAGGUGUGUGUUUAGGGUCAAUACUGCAAGGUCAUGUACUAUACAUAAUUAUGUCAUGUACAUAUAAUUAUAGCCUGGAUCCCAGGGUAGGCCGGUGAACGAGGCUAGUACAUAUAAUCCUUUUGUUUGUAGUUAGGGUGCUUUAAAUUUAGUAACCAUUAAAGAUCUAACAUACUCUUCUUGAGGGGAGGGGUAGUUAAACACAUUAUUUUAAACAGCCAUAACUUUAUUAUCGUUGAUCCAAUGUCAAAAUUUAUAUUAUUUGCUUAAAGCUUAGAAACAGACUUUCAAAUAAUGUGCUUCAAUCCAAAAUUUCUUUGGUGUAAUUUUUCGGCCUUGGACCAUCAGCUAUUAUCCUUGGUUGUGUCCAAAUUAGUUUUGUAGCUCAAAAUAAUAUGAACUUUGAUGGCGACGUUUGAAAGGUAUAUCUUAUAUACCAUUCGAUUCCUUGUUAAAAAACGCUUCUAUCUAUAUAUGCUGUAGAGCUGGUAAGCUCCACAUUUUGUGAUCUUGUGUGUGUGCAUUGGGUGCAUGAUGUGAGAUCAAUUUCAACAUGGUAUGGAGUGUUGUUAACAUGGAGGGUGACAUUGUAUGAGUGUAAUAACGUGCGACCCCCCCCCCACACACCUUUAGGCCUACUAUGCUGCUCACUUUAACUGACUCUUACGAUUAUUCUAGUAUUCAUAAUGUAAGUACGUACAUAUUGUAUACCAGUACAUGUGUUGUGUGUGGUGUCCCUAUAGUUGAGUGUGAGUGUGAGAGGCCAUAUAUAUAAGGAGGACAUACGUGUGUCGAGGCUGGAGGUGGCCCGUGUGCUGAGGGGAGAGAAAUGAGUACAAAGAGAAGUACCUCUCACUAUUGGAGCAGAUUAGGUAAAGGGUCAUCUUGUAGUGUUUGUAAAGCGGUCAUCAUAACUUUAAUAACUGCUAAUACAUACUAACACUGUGUAUCCAGAGGAGGUUCGACAGGUGCAGUGCAGCUCAAGCAAUUAGUCUCUGAUUACACGCUUGCAUGAGCGGAUAAUUAGUGUUCAUGCAAUCAAAGGCUAAUACAUACUAACACUGUGUAUUUGUACUAACAAUGUUAGUUGAUUAAUAAUAAUGUUUCUCUGUUGCACAGGAUGAGUGCUGACUCGGCUCUGUUUAAGUCCAAGAGCAAGAAAUCAAAGUGGCUCGACUAUUAUGCGGUCAUUUUUCAGCCCGGCCAAGUGUUGAGGAGACAAGAAGAGGCACUGAGAAUGGAGGUAGAGUUCCCAAGCCCCACCCCAACUGUCUGACUCGGAAGAGGAGAUAGACUUUGGAUUCUGGGAGAAGUCGUCCACCCUACCCUCGGACAAGACACCAACCAAGGACCUGAACUUGUUAUGAGACUGUUAAAUAUUAUUUUGUCUGUUUUUGUACUAUUUUCUGGCAAUGUAAUUAUGUAUGUACCACUUCAUGUCAUCAUAAUAACUAUAAUUAUAUGCGAUAAAAUUCUGUUGCAACUUAAUUUUCUCAACA
This is a long non-coding RNA of Halichondria panicea, 2425 nucleotides long. RefSeq lists it as uncharacterized. NCBI's taxonomy places the organism in Eukaryota, Metazoa, Porifera, Demospongiae, Suberitida, Halichondriidae. The record is from RefSeq and is a predicted model, not a curated record. The transcript is spliced from 4 exons.